AGCAGCCGCGGUAAUUCCAGCUCCAAUAGCGUAUAUUAAAGUUGUUGCAGUUAAAAAGCUCGUAGUUGAAUUUCGGGAUUGACGUGAUGGUCGUGCCUUACGGGGUAUGAACUGUUGCAGUCAAUUUCUCACCUUCUGGAGAAAUAUGAUGUCCUUAAUUGGGUGUCAUAUGGAACCAGAACUUUUACCUUGAAAAAAUUAGAGUGUUUAAAGCAGGCUUAUUGCUCGAAUACAUUAGCAUGGAAUAAUAAAAUAGGACGGCAUGGUUCUAUUUUGUUGGUUUCUAGGAUCACCGUAAUGAUUAAUAGGGAUAGUUGGGGGCAUUAGUAUUCAAUUGUCAGAGGUGAAAUUCUUGGAUUUAUUGAAGACUAACUACUGCGAAAGCAUUUGCCAAGGAUGUUUUCAUUAAUCAAGAACGAAAGUUAGGGGAUCGAAGACGAUCAGAUACCGCCGUAGUCUUAACCAUAAACUAUGCCGACUAGGAAUCAGACGAUGUUAAUUUUUUC
This 506-nucleotide unclassified non-coding RNA is filed under the name uncultured Glomus. Its description in RNAcentral is "SSU rRNA". It matches the Rfam family "Eukaryotic small subunit ribosomal RNA", at positions 569 to 1073 of the family's 1831-position model. Lineage: Eukaryota; Fungi; Glomeromycota; Glomeromycetes; Glomerales; Glomeraceae. The record is from RNAcentral.